CCUCAGCUGAAAACCUAGGGUGUGCGAAUGCAUUAUUCAGACGCUCCCCCCAUCUGCUCUUUAGCAGGAAAUGGUGUGACCGGAAAGUAGGUCUUUUUAAAUCUGAAUUAUUCAAACAAUUUGUGCACGUGACCAGGACCCAAGCCCGGGGGCCAUGCUCCAAGCCCGGCUUGAAAGGGUCUCAGGGCAGUGGGGGAGGCUCCCUUCCAGCCAAGCUUGGUCUGUUCCUUCCCUGGGUAGCCCUCCUGCCUUUCUUCUAGUCCGUGAACCGGAGCCUGACCCUGGCCCCCCCUCCCCUGGCCCCAGAGGACCGGACUGGGGCGGGGAAGGGACAGAGAGAGCACGGAAUGCAGGUCCUGCUCUGCGUCAGGCGGGCAUUUUACACUCCGGCCAGGCAGGUGCGGGCUGUGGGACUGUGACGGCCUUUCUGCAGCCUGCCGCACCUCUGGAGAGGACCCCUGGGGCCGAGCGCUGUUUGUCAAGAAUACUGUCCCUGAGGCCCAGCCCACCUGCCACCUGGGAGGUGAUGCAAGCGAGCACAAGCAAGGAGGUGGGGCAGAGGCAGAAUCAGACUCCGCGCCAAGCAGGGCGCCGGACGCGGGGCUGGACCCCCGGACCCGGGAUCGUGACUGGAGCUUCACCGACGGAGCCCCCGGAAGCCCCAGGCCCCAGGCUCUUGACGAGGCUGCGGACAGAAUGACCUCGGUGUGGUCACGUGCAAGCUGAGACUGAAGAGACUGAAGGAGAGAAGGGCCUCAGACCCCUCGGAGGAGCGGGGCACAAGCCCAGCUGCGAGCCCCUGGGGGCCGGCACCGUCACCAGUCGCCCGGCCGUGUCCCCAGACGCCAAGCCCAGAAGCCGCGGUUCCCCCGGUGCCCAGGGCCAUCCGGGGGCCGGGGGCCUUCUCUGCGGGCCUCGACCUUCAGGUCGGAGGCCAACCCAAGGCCCGCCGGGGCUCCACUCUUUGCGCAGUCGGCGCCCUGCCCCACUCUCCGCCGCCGCCGGAACGAAAGGGAGAUGCGGGUCUCUGCUUCUCUGACAAAAGUGGGACCGAAAAGGAGGUUUCCAGGGCACGGUUACGAGACGAGAAUCGGAGGGCGCACGGGCCGGCGGCCCAGGCGGCGACCCCUGCCUAGUCCCAAGCCCUGGACCUCCGACCCCAGACCCCAAACGCGGCUGGCGGACGCCGGGGGCCCGGCCGGCUCCACGCGGCUCACCAGCGCCGCCUAGUGCCGGCG
This is a long non-coding RNA of Mustela lutreola (European mink), 1238 nucleotides long. RefSeq lists it as uncharacterized. Lineage: Eukaryota; Metazoa; Chordata; Mammalia; Carnivora; Mustelidae. The record is from RefSeq and is a predicted model, not a curated record. The transcript has 3 exons.